AGAAAGAUAGAGAUGUGACAACAAAGGAAAGGAAAUAAGAGAAAUAAGGUCCAUCGUGCAUUAAGGUACGAAAGCGUUGUAGCAAGGCAGGGCAGGGGGAAUGGACUCGGUCGCCGUGAUAUCACUCCCUCCCGGCUGGCUGUCACUAGCAGAGCGCGAUUCAAUUUCUGGCACCCACCCGAAUUAAAUGCUAUGCACUCGUGGGUAUUGGUAUCAUGCUCUUGGCAUUGAAUGUGGCUUUCUCUGAGUAAUGAAUGAGGUAGUAGUAAAUCGGGGCUGGUGGGACAGGCUAAUUAAGACUGCCGAGAAGAAGAAGCAUGACUACCACCACCAGCCCGUGAGGCGUCGCAAAGAUAAUCAUCAUGCGUGGGGAUCUGACUGACAGGAAAUGCCAUGUUCUCCCCUUCUCCUCCUUCAGUGUGAUGAGUGAGUGACGGACGCCCGGUUUUGGAAGGGGCCAGUGAAUAGGGCUCCAUUCAUUCAUACAUUCAUCCCUCCUUCCAUGCUCGCCAUUGGUGCCAUUUCGGUGGUGCAUUCAAUGCCCUCCCCCUCAUCCCUCCCUUCCUCCCACUGCCACUAACGGACGGACUACGUCAUCGCUCUC
This 604-nucleotide long non-coding RNA is filed under the name Physcomitrium patens. RNAcentral describes it as "long non-coding RNA (PPAT_LNC004434)". The record is from RNAcentral. Lineage: Eukaryota; Viridiplantae; Streptophyta; Bryopsida; Funariales; Funariaceae.